CCAUAGGGAAUUCCCUGGUGGUCCAGUGGUUAGGACUCUGUGCUCUCACUGCUGAGGGCACCAGUUCAAUCCCUGGUCAGGGAACUAAGAUCCCAUAAGACGUGUGGGGCAGCCAAAAAAAAAAGUCACCACAUCAGAAUUUGAACCUAGCUCUGAUGACUGUUUUUUCUUAACUCUUCUAAUACCACAACUGAGAAACCUGAGACAUUAGCUUAUGCUAAAAGGUUCGUGGGACAUUAAUGAUCUGAAAUCUCUUUUCUUUUAGGUCCAGCUCUAAUCAGGGUGGUUUUUUGGUUCAGCUGAGACCAACUGUGGAUUCACUCCCAUGGCUUGUGGGCAGGUAUGUUUUUAGGAAACUACGUAACUUCUUGGCUGAGUCCUGUGGGUUUUUUAUCUUUUGACUCUGCAGUGGAUAACACAUGCCUUCCAGUGCUCAGGAUCCAGAAAUCAAUCAACAAGGCCUGAAAAUUACAGCAAAGGAGGAUGGAAGGAUGUCAUUCCAUGUGUUGGAUGGGCCGUGGUGCCUGCCUUUGUAAAGGCCAGGAUGCCUAGAGGAAGGAGGGUUAUGGCCUCUCCUCUUUCCUCGGUUAAAAAGUUGUGAUCUAACACAGGAAGUGGUCCCUCUGGUUUAUGGUCCUUCCAUUACUUCAUCAGAUACGGUGUAUGGGCCCAGAGCAGCUGUUUGCAGGCACCUAGCUUGGCCUGGCCUCACCUAAAGCUCAUUUUUGAAGGAAUGAGUCUGUUCGAGACUGUACUGGGGUAUAAUCUUAACUGGAUCGUUCAGUACACUUGGGGGAAGGUCAUCUGUGACCAGUACACUGCCUUGGCCAUCUCAAGCCUAGAGAGAUGCUGUCCUUACUCUGUGAUGUGUCCUUAUGGUAACUCCAGCUGCUCAGCCCUGGCAGCCCUUCCUUCGCCUCCUCUCUUGGCUGACCUGUGUGCUCCUGGAAACAUUAUAGGAGAAAGAGGGCCCUCUAAUGCCGAGAUUCCACUUGAAAACCACUGUCCUCCUUCAAUGGUUCCCAAGGGAGAAGAUGCCUUUAUUGGACAUCGGGGCAACACUUACUCGGAGGCUCCCAGCACUCAGGCUGCCAAGAAAACUGCAACUUGACCUCUUGUGUGGGUGCUCCACGAUGAACGAUCAGGCUUGCAAAGUUACUGCCUAACCAGGUGCCUCUACCACCCCAGCCCCAGGUUACCAGUGCAGGAUGUGGCCUCCUUGAGUUGCGUCCAGUGGAGGCUGAGGAAAUGAACCCCCGUCCCCCUUUGGCAGUGGAAAUGCCAAGUGGCUAUGGAAGUUAUCUUACACGGGUGUGGUCAGCAGCACCCAAACAGGAAUGUCUUCUUGGUAAAGGCUGCCUUAGAAAUGGUCCAGAAAGCAGUGCAGUUUUGAUUCAGAAAGACCAAAGGAAAGCGCCUGA
Non-coding RNA from Kogia breviceps (pygmy sperm whale), 1421 nucleotides. NCBI's taxonomy places the organism in Eukaryota, Metazoa, Chordata, Mammalia, Artiodactyla, Physeteridae. The record is from RefSeq and is a predicted model, not a curated record.